AGAAGGUGAUAACGUGAACUAGUGUUUUAAGAAGCAAUUUUGUUCUUGGCUUUUUUCAACGGCUUUCGCCACCUUGGUCUCCCGAGUAUACUGGAAUUGCAGGUGCAGUAGCUGCUCAACUUGAAAGCUCAAUUCAAAGUCAGCUGUUGCAUCAGGAGAAUAGUCCAUCAACUUUCGUACAAAUGCAAUGGAAUUCUUGUGAUUACUGGAAGAGCUGGCCGAGAAAUUUUAUCAAAUGUGUUAUGCUGCCAAAAUUUGGCACUAUUGAAAAUGUCAACGGCCAUACCACGCUGACAACAUUAGUUCCCAUUCGAUCACUAAGUCAAGCAGCGCUGGGCACGGUUAGUACUUGGACGGAUGAACCCGCUUUUAGGAAUACCGUGUGCAACCAGAUCCAAGUAUGCGUCCGGUCCUAUGGGACCCCCAAGUCUAUUGGCUCACAAAGCCAUUUGCUCACUUCACCAAUCAUGUCCUGCUCAGGAAUAUAGGGCAAAUAUCCGCAGCCCAACUCUCCCCAAUAACACUUAUACCUCCAAACACGUGAGAUGUUUUCCCACCUCAUUUUCAAUAGCCCCAUUCGGA
Molecule: long non-coding RNA, 582 nt
Filed under: Polistes fuscatus (common paper wasp)
Lineage: Eukaryota; Metazoa; Arthropoda; Insecta; Hymenoptera; Vespidae
Source: RNAcentral